ACACUUAUGAGUUUUAUCCUGGCUCAGAAUGAACGCUAAUAGUAUGCUUAACACAUGCAAGUCUAACGGUAAUAUAGUUUUUAAACUAUUUUAUCGUGGCGUACGGGUGAGUAGUAUGCAGAAUGCUACCUUUUAGUAUAGAACAACAUUUUAGUGAUUUCACUAACAUAAAUUCUGUAUAUUUAUAAAGGAAUUAAUAUGAUAAAAUAUAUUUUUCCGCUAAAAGAUGGGUCUGUGUAAGAUUAGGUAGUUGGUAAAUUUAACAGCUUACCAAGCCUUCGAUCUUUAGUUGAUCUUAGAGGAUGAUCAACCACACUGGAACUGAAAUAAGGUCCAGGCUGAAUUUUUCGGCCAGCAGUGAGGAAUAUUGGACAAUGAACGAAAGUUUGAUCCAGCAAUACUAUAUGAAUGAAGACGGCUUUUUAGUUGUAAAUUUCUUUCGUUAAGAAUGAUAAUGACAUUACUUAAAGAAUGUUUUAGUCCCGGCUAAUACUCGUGCCAGCAGCCGCGGUAAUACGGGAGGGGCAAGCGUUAUUCGCCAUGACUGGGCGUAAAGUGUCCGUAGACUGUAAAGUAAGUUAUCUGUUAAAUUUUAAAGCCUAACUUUAAAUCAGCUUUUAAUACUGCUUUACUUGAGUUUUAUACAGAAGAGUAGAAUUUUAUAUGAAAGGGUAAAAUCUAAACAUAUAUAAAGGAAUACCAUUAGCGAAGGCGACUCUUUGGUAAAAACUGACGUUAAGGGACGAAAGUGUGGGGAGCAAACAGGAUUAGAUACCCUGGUAGUCCACACCGUAAAUACUGAGUGCUGUAAUUUAAUGUAAGCUAUAAAAAGCAUUAUUUAGAUUUUUAAGCUAACGCUAUAAGCACUCCGCCUGAGAAGUAUGAUCGCAAGAUUGGAACUCAAAGGAAUUGACGGGGGCUAAUACUAGUGGUGGAGCAUGUGGUUUAAUGCGAUACUCCGCGCAAAACCUUACCAAUUUUUGACAUAAAGUUUAUUUUUUAACGUUUGGAUUAACAGAUUUUAAUUAAAAAAUCUUUACAGGUGUUGCACGGCUGUCGUCAGCUCGUGUCGUGAGAUGUUUGGUUGAUUCCCUUAACGGGCGAAACUCUUAUCUUUAAUUUUCGUUUUAACUAUUUUAAAAUAUAAUAACUUGUUUUAAAAAGCUUUAAAUGAUACGGUCAAUGAUAAGUUGAAGGAAGGUGAGAACGAAGUCAAGUCAAUGUGACCCUGAUAAAUUGGGCUACACAUGUGCUACAAUGAAAAUUACAAUAAGUAACAAAAAUUCAAAUUUUAGUUAAUCUCUAAAGAUUUUCCCAGUUCGGAUUGUAAGCUGAAACUCGUUUGCAUGAAGUUGGAAUCACUAGUAAUCGCAAAUCAGAACGUUGCGGUGAAUAUGUCAAUUAGCCUUGUACACACCGCCCGUCACAUGCAGAAAAUCAGUUUUUUUUGAAGAUUUGACUCUGUUAAGUUUAUUGAAAAAUUGGUAAUUUGGAUGAAGUCGUAACAAGGUAGCUGUACGGGAACGUGUAGCUGGAAAAAAUGAAAA
RNAcentral lists this ribosomal RNA (1547 nucleotides) under Didymosphenia geminata (rock snot). RNAcentral's name for it is "bacterial SSU rRNA". It matches the Rfam family "Bacterial small subunit ribosomal RNA". Lineage: Eukaryota; Bacillariophyta; Bacillariophyceae; Cymbellales; Cymbellaceae. The record is from RNAcentral.